Molecule: long non-coding RNA, 745 nt
Filed under: Ananas comosus (pineapple)
Lineage: Eukaryota; Viridiplantae; Streptophyta; Magnoliopsida; Poales; Bromeliaceae
Description: long non-coding RNA (ACOM_LNC030153)
Source: RNAcentral
GAGGUAAUAUGAACUUCUUCAUGUACUUGUUUUUGCAAGUAAUGCUUCUAGCAGCUGCCUUAGAUGAGCGUACAUUCCUGUUUGAACUUGCUUUCCCAGAAAGAAGCAACUAAACUUUUAGCACAAAGAAGGACAAAAAAAAUGAGUUAAACAAUCUAGCGCUUUUGUUGCGAUUGAAAGCUAAAAUGAGCUGUUGAGCCACAAAGUAGAACUUCCAAAUCGAAGCUUCUACUUUUGUUGCAACCGGCAGCUGUUGGAGAGGAUGUCAAUGAAAAAGCUGUUAGUGCUUUCAAUAGCAUUGCUUAGCAGAACUUCUGCCAGAGCUAUGGCUCUAAGCAGAAUUUUGAAAUGAAUAAAUUAUUACAUUUCUCCAUGUAUGUAACCCUUUUAUCUUGAUACGAUGUAUGCUGAUAUACUUUUGGAUGUUUACCAGGUCGCCAUCUCCCCCGAAACCAAGGUCCAAGUCUCGGUCUAGGUCACCUAUCAAAUUCCGCCGAAGCAAGUCUCGGUCUAGAUCACCUAUUAAAUAUCGCCGAAGCAAGUCUCGGUCUAGGUCACCUAUUAAAUAUCGCCGAAGCAAGUCUCGGUCUAGGUCACCUAUUAAAUAUCGCCGAAGCCGGCGGUCCCGUUCUUUCUCCCCACCAGCUCGGUACUCCCGUGAUCAUAGGUCGCGGUCACCAAUAAGAUCUCACUAUUCGAGUCAGAGAACUGAAAGAUUAUACAGAGAUGAUCGCGACAGCCACAG